CUCCGGUUUGCCCAGGUCUGAUCCCGGCCUUUUUUUUCGACUGAGCGCACUACCGGCCCGUCACGUCUGCAUCUCUUGGUGGCGGAGCAAGAGCGUACACGCUGGGACCCGAAAGAUGGGGAACUAUGCCUGAGUAGGACGAAACCAGAGGAAACUCUGGUGGAAGUCCGCAUCGGUUCUGACGUGCAAAUCGAUCGUCGAACUUGGGUAUAGGGGCGAAAGACUAAUCGAACCAUCUA
Molecule: ribosomal RNA, 239 nt
Filed under: Thermochiton sp. 1 HW-2022a
Lineage: Eukaryota; Metazoa; Mollusca; Polyplacophora; Chitonida; Ischnochitonidae
Description: partial large subunit ribosomal RNA
Rfam family: Eukaryotic large subunit ribosomal RNA
Source: RNAcentral